Molecule: unclassified non-coding RNA, 304 nt
Filed under: plant metagenome
Description: partial contains 5.8S ribosomal RNA, internal transcribed spacer 2, and large subunit ribosomal RNA
Rfam family: 5.8S ribosomal RNA (bases 1-105)
Source: RNAcentral
GAAAUGCGAUAAGUAGUGUGAAUUGCAGAAUUCAGUGAAUCAUCGAAUCUUUGAACGCACAUUGCGCCCCUUGGUAUUCCAUGGGGCAUGCCUGUUCGAGCGUCAUUUGUACCUUCAAGCUCUGCUUGGUGUUGGGUGUUUGUCUCGCCUCUGCGCGUAGACUCGCCUCAAAACAAUUGGCAGCCGGCGUAUUGAUUUCGGAGCGCAGUACAUCUCGCGCUUUGCACUCAUAACGACGACGUCCAAAAGUACAUUUUUACACUCUUGACCUCGGAUCAGGUAGGGAUACCCGCUGAACUUAAGC